Thalassophryne amazonica is the source of this 1178-nucleotide long non-coding RNA. RefSeq lists it as uncharacterized. The transcript is spliced from 3 exons. The record is from RefSeq and is a predicted model, not a curated record. NCBI's taxonomy places the organism in Eukaryota, Metazoa, Chordata, Actinopteri, Batrachoidiformes, Batrachoididae.
AUAAAAUAAUAAUUUUUUUAACAAGCUCCUAGUUGUACAGAAACAAUUUAUUUUGAACAUACACUGAGAACUGAUGCAAAGGCAAUGCUCUUGGAAAAGCAGACAAAAACAUAUUACAGUAGCAUGCAAAUAUUUGGGAACCCAUUUGAGGUUUACACAUUAGCAUUUUUACAUAUUUUGAAGAAAAAAAAAUCAGGUGUCUGUUAAAACUGAUUAAAAAAAACAUGCCAGUUAAACUCAGCAAAGAUUUCUACAUUAAAAAAAAAUUAAUAUCUUCACUGUUCCACUUUACCAUAGAACUGUCAGUGGUGAUGCAACAGACAAAUACAGUCUCUAAUCACAGUCACAAACACCAGUAACUCCUUCAGUUGCCUUGGGGUUCUUCCCUCAGCGGUCUCCUCGUAGUGUCACUCAGUUUUUGAGAACUACAGAUUUACCAUACUAUUUGUAUUUCUUAAUGACUGAUGUAAGCAAACUCCAACACAUACUCAGUGACUCUAAAAUGUUCAUGUAUGUUCAUGUACCUUGACUAGUCAAACAGAAACCAGCUGCAGAAGUGUUGAUUUAGUCAUCCAAAGGUACUUCAAACAUUUCUCUGCCUCACUAAGAAAACGUCACAGGAGCAAGAUUGUUCUUGAAUUAUUUUUCACAUUCUUUAAUGUUUUUAACUUUAAUGCACUUGGUCCACUGAUGUUUCACAUCUUGAGCCUCCAGAUUUUGCAGGUGAGGCUGAGAGGUUUUUGAAGUACACUUGUAUAUUCCAUUAUUCUAGCUCAGAUUUUUUAAACAAUCUGUUGCAAAGAUUUGUGAGUUUAAAGAGGAUUUUUUUUUUUUUUGAAAUUUUAAUACAGAGAAGCCUGAAUAGCUUUUUUUUCUCUGUCAAACAGGGGUUCUCAAUCUUUUGCAUGCUACAAAAUAAGACAAAAAAAACAAACAGCCAAAAUAGAAAGAAAAUCUGUACAUACAUAUUUACUAAAAGUGAAAACACUUAUGAAUCUUUAACUUGCUUACACACCCCAGUAAAAUAAUGUCAGUACCCCCGAAAAGCCAACGUCAACUUCAUGGACAUAUUUAAAUAUAUUUCAGUAUGAAAAUGAUUUCAUAAAGCAAAAGGUUAUGGUUGUCGUUUGUCAAACAACCUAACAAAAUGUCCUUUUACACCAAGUCCAAGUUUAAAU